This is a long non-coding RNA of Octopus bimaculoides (California two-spot octopus), 602 nucleotides long. RefSeq lists it as uncharacterized. NCBI's taxonomy places the organism in Eukaryota, Metazoa, Mollusca, Cephalopoda, Octopoda, Octopodidae. The record is from RefSeq and is a predicted model, not a curated record.
UUCAAGGAAUAUAAUUUAUAUAACACAUAUUCAUACCGUAUAUACAUAAAUAAAUCAAUAUGCGUGUAAGCAAGCAGCUGUUACAUCGAACUAUAUGUGACACACUCUCCUGAAAGUGUCCACCACUUGAGCAGACGUUGCUGGAACACGAAAAUCUACGAUGAAAUGUAUUAUAUACUUGUGUCUUCUCACCGUAGGUGCUGCUAAGAAUAUGUCUUGUAAUUCCGAAGACCUAUGCCCCGAUGCCUGGAUAAAAUAUCCAAUAACAACGCAUGAUAUAAACUACUGCCCACGAAUUAAAAUGUAUGAAGUUUGUACGAAGAAUCAUCACCCAGAGUGUCUCGCUUUCUACAUAUAUCUUUAUCGCUUGUUAUGUAUUGAUCCUAAACCAUUAGAGAGUCGUGCUUCGCCCUGCUUUAUGAGUUCCUACAACAUAUUACUGAUACAUAUUUUAUUGAUGUUGAUGUGCUGCAAUUGAAAAUCACCCGAAAAGAAUAUAUUUGAUGUAAUAAUAUUAUGUCCUUACCACAAAUCGAAUCUGAAGCUGCAAUUGUGAACAAUAUAAGGAAACCAUAUAUACAUACAUACAUGUGCAUAUAUAU